UCCCGUUCCAAGUUUAGGGACCUUUUUUCCAACUUUUGAAAGCCUAGGGAUUUAGCUGCAAAUUUUUUAGGUUUUAAUAUAAAAACAAAAUCUGGGUUUCUUGCUGGGGAUUCUGCCGGUUUUGCCUCCUACGUCUUUUAAUUUUCUUUUUCUUUUCUUUCUUCAUUCCUUUUUUUUUUUUUCUUGAUAAUUUUUGGAGGACAAAUCAUAGAGCAAGGAGAAUAUAUCUAAGGUGGAGAAAUAUUCAGAAAAGUCAAGGCCAAGCUUCACAAGGGUUUGAUCUAUAACUUUGUAUUUUCUCGAUUAUUUUGUCAUAUUUUUAAUGUAUAAUAUUCUUCUUUAUAUUAUUUAUAUAACAUGGAGUAAUUUAUUGUUGGGAUUUAUGAUAUUAGUUUAAUCUGAU
Molecule: long non-coding RNA, 403 nt
Filed under: Olea europaea (common olive)
Lineage: Eukaryota; Viridiplantae; Streptophyta; Magnoliopsida; Lamiales; Oleaceae
Description: long non-coding RNA (OEUR_LNC012652)
Source: RNAcentral